This is a non-coding RNA of Monodelphis domestica (gray short-tailed opossum), 4028 nucleotides long. The record is from RefSeq and is a predicted model, not a curated record. NCBI's taxonomy places the organism in Eukaryota, Metazoa, Chordata, Mammalia, Didelphimorphia, Didelphidae.
CCUUUCUCCUUCCCGGGUCUGGUCCUUCUUACACAGCUUCCUCUACUGUUCCCCUACUCAUGUCCCUUCGCCCCUAAAUAAAUAGCCUGAACCAAAGUUUAACCAGUGCCCUCCGACCCACCCUUUCCGGACGGUUGGCCAGUUUUCCAGUUUGCCCCCUCCCAGAGCCAGGCGAUGUGUAGAUUCCUAGAAUAGAGAGGGUGGGCAGCAGCAUCCUCCCUGGCAAAGGCAAGCCGCAGUAGUUAAAGGGCGUGUGCGGAGUGGAGUUGGGGGGGGCGGCAGAAGGAGGGAGAGGGAGCCCUUUGGGUUUUAUUUUUGGAAAAGUAACCUAUCGAUCAGCCUUCCGCAGCCCAGCCUCCCUUCCCUUUAAAAUUUGGCCUUGGAGUGGUGCAAGCGAAGGACACUAGAUCAUCUGCAGGGAGGCUUCUUUUUACUGAAUCGUAUGUGUGUGCGUGUGCGCGCGUGUGUGCCCGCGCGUGUGUUGCUACUACCUCAAGGCUCUGGUCAAGAAACCCUGCCCAGGGUGUGGACGUGUGAAUUAGAGGGAAAGGCGGGAAGGGCCAGCUCCCACAUCUCGCUAGCGCUGGCCCCCGAGGUCAAAAGCUACACGUGCGUGCCGAUGUGGGUUUGUAUAUCUAGAUAUGUAUUCCAUGUAACAUCUUUUCUUCUUCCCCCGGGGCCUUGGGACAGUGGCUCAGUGCUGAGGAGGGGCGGUGGCGCGCAUGCGCUCAGGUCCGUCCGUCCCGGGGGCACUUUGGGAGUCGUAGUCUCAUGUGCUUUGCAGCAGCUCGAGGAGGAGGAGGAGGAGGAGGAGGAGGGAAAAGAAGGUCGAAGCGUGCUAGCAGCCCUUGGCUGAGGUCCAGCAGCUCCCGGAGCAGCAGUAGCGGCAGCGGCGGCAGACACGGCGGCGGCGGCGGCUCCUGCACCCUCGCUACCGGGCAGGGACCAGACACAGUAGUAGCUUCCUCCCACCCCAUCAUGCCGGCCUCCCCCCCUCCCCUCAGCCCUAGGGCCAGAAGAGCGAGAAAGCAUGCCUGCGGUAAAGGGGACCACUCAGAACUGUCCUCAAGAAAGGGAUUUUCAGGUUUGAACUCUUUCCCCCCCCCUUUUCUUCUCAAAAUGGCCCUGUGCGUGUGGUAUGUAUGUGGAGGGGGGGGCAUUCUUCUCAAUCUGGACGUUCCUUUUCAGGAAACUUUUCAAGAUCCGGAGACCAGUAGCCGUGUACCCAUUCUUCUCAAGCCUCAGGUAAGGGAAGCCUGGGGGUUUAAGAGAAAAGAACAGAAGCAAGAACUCUGACAACUUCUUUUCCUCACGGUGGCAGACCAGUUUGCCCCCCCACCCCCCCACCAUUGCAGAAAACCUUGAAGAUGGUAGGUAUGAUACCGUAUCCUUUAAAUAAAUGAUUUUUUAGAAUUAGUCACGUUAGAAUGAAAUCAUUAAUCUGAGAUCCUGAUUAGAAAAUAUUCCCCUGAGAGGCAUGGUGCUAAAGAGGUUUUUUUUUUUAUUAAAGUAGCUGGCCCUUAAGUAAGUAUAGGGUGGAUUAUGACCAAAUAAGUAUGAUUUGGGUGGAUUAUGCCCAAAUAAGUGUGACUUAAGUCUUUGGAAAUGAGAGAAGGCCGGCUUGUCGAAUACGAUGAUAUCCAAGAAGGGCUAAUGGGAAAAGAUGAAUCCAUAAAUUGUUUAAACUGAGCUAGGUAAAGUGCUUAAUGCAGCUCUGUGAAAUACAUCAAUGUGGCAUUGUACAGCCAGUGAAGAGCAUUCUAGACCCGAGCUUCAAAAAGUAAAUAAAUUGAGACUUUCCCCAGCUCUUUAGGGGGCAUGGGGUGGGUAUAGCAAUGAUUUCUGGGCAAAGAAUUUCUAUAUUGAACUUUUCUGAAGUGAUUUGGCUGUAUCUCUUUUGGGGUGGCUAUUGAGAUUUACUUAGCACUUGUAAGCAGUAAAGUUGGGACUAAGUUUAUGAGGAACAGGUCAAAAUCAUGUAGGCUUGAAACUAGCAAGUGACUUAAAUCAAGAAUGCAAUAACUCGAUCCCUUCAUGUUCUCAUGGUUUAAAUAAAUUUGCAGGCGUAACUUGGAAUCUGUAAAAGUAAAAAUUCUUGGUGCUUGAGUAAGCUGGUGCAUUUUGAUUUGGGGGCAUUUUUUUUUACUAGUGGAUGUUUUUCUGCUUUAUCUCUAGGUCAUUUGAAGAAUUGAAAGGGAGAAGAGCCAGGGCUUGAGGCCGACCUACGGCUUUGCUGGAGGCCGUGCCUCGGUUGUGUAAAAGUGCUUAUAGUGCAGGUGCUGCAGUGUGGAGGCUGGUCCCAGGUCCUGGUAGUGCCAAAGUGCUCAUAGUGCAGGUAGUUUUUUGCAAAUGACUACUGUACUAUGGGCACUUCAGCGCUCCUGGGUAAUGUAUCACUGGGGGGUGGAGGGGGGGUGGGGGCAGAUGGAACAGUCACAGGACCUAGCUUUAAUCCCAGUGCUGCUCACAGUCAGUUUUGCAGGUCUUGCAUCGGCCUAUGUCAAUUGCUGUGCAAAUCCAUGCAAAACUGAUUAGGAGGGCAUUUGCAUCUGCACUUUUGGACCGGCCUUCCCCGCCUUGAGUGAGCUGAGCUCUCGAAGAUUGUCUUUGGCUGAUUUCUCUGCGGGUGGGGAUUUGUUGCAUUACUUGAUCAUGUGACUAUAAGAGUAUUGCACUUGUCCCGGCCUGUGGAGGAAAAGAGGACUUUUCAUCUGUUCCUGUAAGGACUGAGAGGGGCCGUUCUAGCUGUUUUGCUGUUGUCGGGUGGAUCACGAUGCAAUUUUGAUAAGUUUAAUAGGAGAAAAAUUGCACGGUAUCCAUCUGUAAACCGCAAGACCUUAUGCAGUGGCAGCUUGGGUGGGGAAAGAGCGGGCAUGGCUGGGCUGGGCUGGGCUGGGCUGGGGUGAGGCGCGAUCUGCUUGGGAUUCGUCUCCCAAGCACGGGAGAAAGGUUGGUUUUUAACCUAAAAUACUUCUGUGCAUUUUUUGAGAAAGGGGUUAAUCUUGUGAAUGGUUGGAUUGGCUCACCUUGACUUGAAGCACAAUGUACCGAAUUAACUAUCCACUAAUGUUUCCAUUUAGUUUGACCCUUGAAUGAGAUACAAAAGGGCUACAUUUCAGCAUUUCUGCUCAGGGUUGGUACACAAUCAUAAAGUUAUCUUAUCUUCUGGAGCCCGCUCCCCAAGGGAAACAACUCAUUGUUCUUUUGCUUUGUUGAAUGUUGCCUCCGAAGUUGAGCUGUGGUUAAAGGUGUGAUCCUGGCAAAUGUAUGUAUUUGUUCAUUUAAACACAGAAGGAAAUAAAUGACGGUUCAUUUUGCUAGUAUUGUGCUUCCCAUUUUGCAGAUGAAGAGACUGACAGACAUUAGGAUUCCAGAUUAAAUGAUUUGAUGUCCUUGCUCUUUUAAGGCAGCCGUGGCUGAAAAGCAGUCCGAAGACGGAGGGAGAAGUUGGUUAACUUCAUCUGGCCCACCUGGAAGAGACGGCGGCGGGCGGGCUACUUGCUUUUGGUCUUUGACUCCCCUGCUUGAAAAUUAGAUUGUAGGUCUCCACCUAAAUUCAGGUUCCUAAAGCUGUGAAAGAAUAGCAACUUAUUCCCUAGUGUGGAACACUGUAGUGUCUGUAAUGAGCCUUGUGAAUGAGAAAGAGGCGGGAGCCCUCUCCCCGCGCUUUGGAGUUUGGGGAGGACCCGAGUUCUCGAGUCCCACUAGCUAGCUAGCCCUAAACUAGAACCAAGAUUGUAAAGUAGACAUAGUGAUUUCCCAACUGAGUUCUCUUUGCUGGGCUGGGAAGGCUUUGGAAAUGUAAACUAAAGAAAUGUAAAUUACUAUGUUCAACUUCCUGUUGUACUGAAGUCUCAGGAAUUCUUUGUGCCCUACCCCCACACUUGGAUUUUUGUAUGUUAUCUCUUCUCCCACCCCCACCCCUGCUAGAUGGAAGCUCCUUGAGGGGCAGGAAUUGGCCUUUUGUCUUGGUAUCCUCUGCCCCUGCCACAUAAGUAGGCUGGCUUAAUAAAAUUUGUUGGAUUAAA